AGGUUGCUUCAAUUCGUUGGUGAUGCACUUUUAAUGCGAUGGUCGCGCGUUCGAAUCGCGCACGACCCACCA
RNAcentral lists this transfer RNA (72 nucleotides) under Candidatus Methylobacter oryzae. RNAcentral's name for it is "tRNA-Lys". Lineage: Bacteria; Pseudomonadati; Pseudomonadota; Gammaproteobacteria; Methylococcales; Methylococcaceae. The record is from RNAcentral.